UGUGUGUAUAAAACGUUGGGACAGGGAGAUAGCUCUGUGAGUAAGGUGAAUACUGAACAGCCUUGAGGACUUAAGUUUGGAUUCUUAGCACCCAAGUGUGGUGGCAUGUGCCCGUGACCCCAGGCUGGGGUUGGGGUCCUUGGCCAACCCGUCUAGCUGACAGAGCAAGCAAACACCAGACAAACUAGAGAUCUUAUCUCAAAAGGCAGAGCUAAAAGCCAAAAAGCCAUAGACGACAGUUAAGACUGACCUCUGGCCUCCAUGGAGACUCCCACACAAACACCAUCCAUGAACACAGAGUGUGCACGUGCGUGCGUGCGUGCGUGUACACACACACACACACACACACACACACACACACAGAGAGAAAGCUGAUUAUCACAAAGUUAAGUAGGAAGUCUUCUAGAAGAUUUCCUGUAGAAGACUCGAUUAUCAGAUGAAAAUUCCAGUUCUGGACAUAGGAUACCGCUAUGUAAGUCAUUGGUUGUGGAGGUACCAAAGGUUCCCAAAACAAUACAUGCCACUGCUGUUGUUCUUGGUCACCCACUAGAACUAGACAAUAAGACCUAGUGCUAAAGAGACAACUUACUUUGGUCGCAGGAUAUAGAAAACUCAAGCUAAAACUGAUCUGAAAAUUUCUUCCUACUACAUGCUAGCUUUCACAGUACUGGAAAAUGCUGCCCAGGCCACUGGGGGAGAAAAUAUAUCUGAUCUUACUCAGCACUGGACCCUGCAUUCUACCAUACUACUAUAAUGCUAAUACCUGCCAUGCAAGAUGUGCCCAUUGUUAUGACAGUGACACAAAGGUCCUGGGGAUAACCAACUGCUUUUGGACUGGAUUUGAGGCCUGCCCCACAGGAGAGAACUCAUGCCUUAUACUGCAAACCUGGUCAAAAGCAUGGCUCAGGAGGUCAUGGGCCCUAGAGGGGAACCUGUUAUAGUCAACUUGGCAUAAGACAGAUCAUCAGACUGCCUUUGAAACACUUAUGUUUAUACCCAUGGAUUAGUCUUCCAUUAACCUUGACCAGAGAAGUCUCUCUCUGCAAUAGGCAGAGAUCACUUAAUGCCAUGGGUCAUAACUGGCCAAAGUGCUGAGAAUAACGCCUACUGAGUGAGCCCUAAAUAGGAUAUUUAUCUCAACAUUCAUCCUACCCAAGGACCAGGAACACCAUGGGAGACAGGAGUAGAAACAGAUCUAAGAACCAGAGGACCGGAGGAGUCUAUGAUAUACUAUCUUCUGGACCAGGAGUGUGACUGCGAGUACAGACGGACUGCAGCUGUGUCACCUGUGCAAGGCCCAGUCAAAAGCAUCAGUCAACAUCCCAGCAAGCACUAAUUAAACUUAUUAAGCUCAGAAGGUUAUUUUUAAAUGGUACGGGGGAGCACAGGUGGAUAUGCCCCAGCGGUUUAUAAUAUGUAUUGCUCUCGCAGAAGAUCAAUGGUUCCCAGCAUCCACCCCUGGGCAGCUCACAAGCAUCUGUAAGCACAGCUCCAGGAGGGUCAGGGAUCUUUCCUCUGGCCUCUGCAGAUCUGUCCACUCACGUGUUCACACUCACACAUGGACACAAACAUAUGACUAGAAAUAAAAUAUAUCUUAAAUUAAUGACUU
RNAcentral lists this long non-coding RNA (1609 nucleotides) under Mus musculus (house mouse). Its description in RNAcentral is "long non-coding RNA chr8:125534373-125535982". Lineage: Eukaryota; Metazoa; Chordata; Mammalia; Rodentia; Muridae. The record is from RNAcentral.